Non-coding RNA from Mycena latifolia, 95 nucleotides. The record is from the annotation of a GenBank genome assembly. NCBI's taxonomy places the organism in Eukaryota, Fungi, Basidiomycota, Agaricomycetes, Agaricales, Mycenaceae.
GCCGUCGUCGACCAGUGGCAGGUCCCCUCCGCCGCUUGUCAGUCAACCUCCAGCGUAAACGGGAGGAACCGGGGGUUCGAUUCCCCCCGACGGCA